RNAcentral lists this ribosomal RNA (484 nucleotides) under uncultured bacterium. RNAcentral's name for it is "partial 16S ribosomal RNA". It matches the Rfam family "Bacterial small subunit ribosomal RNA", at positions 30 to 507 of the family's 1533-position model. The record is from RNAcentral.
AUUGAACGCUGGCGGCAGGCCUAACACAUGCAAGUCGAGCGGAUGAAGGGAGCUUGCUCCUGGAUUCAGCGGCGGACGGGUGAGUAAUGCCUAGGAAUCUGCCUGGUAGUGGGGGAUAACGUCCGGAAACGGGCGCUAAUACCGCAUACGCCCUGAGGGAGAAAGUGGGGGAUCUUCGGACCUCACGCUAUCAGAUGAGCCUAGGUCGGAUUAGCUAGUUGGUGGGGUAAAGGCCUACCAAGGCGACGAUCCGUAACUGGUCUGAGAGGAUGAUCAGUCACACUGGAACUGGGACACGGUCCAGACUCCUACGGGAGGCAGCAGUGGGGAAUAUUGGACAAUGGGCGAAAGCCUGAUCCAGCCAUGCCGCGUGUGUGAAGAAGGUCUUCGGAUUGUAAAGCACUUUAAGUUGGGAGGAAGGGCAGUAAGUUAAUACCUUGCUGUUUUGACGUUACCAACAGAAUAAGCACCGGCUAACUUCGUG